Mercenaria mercenaria is the source of this 2352-nucleotide long non-coding RNA. RefSeq lists it as uncharacterized. NCBI's taxonomy places the organism in Eukaryota, Metazoa, Mollusca, Bivalvia, Venerida, Veneridae. The record is from RefSeq and is a predicted model, not a curated record. The transcript is spliced from 3 exons.
AAAGCAUCCAAUUCAAAACGCGAGGUUUUUGUGUAGUGUGUAUAACCAACUACGGCUGCAGAAUAUACAGAGUCUCUGGUGUUGAUGGAAAGGAUUGUUUACCUAGAGGCAGCUUGGUAUGACAUGUUGCAAAGCAUUCUGUUUGAUUAACAGAUAAUAGAUACUGCAGACACUGAGCAAAUUAUACUUACCUAGCAGUUGCAGUAUUUCAGCCAUGGAGUCAUAAUCUUAGAAUAAAGUUCUCGGUGUUUAGGUGAAUCUGAGGAAAGUCCAAAAUAUUGCAACUGUUCCAGUUGUUUAAAUUGUAAGCAAAGACGUAUGCUGGCUUAAACACAUCAACAAGACAACAAAACACUCAUUUCAUAUGCUGGCUCCAGUGAUGUUAAUUCAGCUGCAGAUACUUCUGUUCUCAAAUAUUUAUCGACAGUACCUGUGUCAGAUGUACUGGCAAACAUGUUAUAUCUUCAUUUUUGUCGAGCCCGCUUGCGGAAGCAAAGAUAGAUGUCCAAAUGGCUGUUCUGUGUAUGUGCGUGUGUGCGUCCGUCCGUCCGUCAGGAUUUGUUUGUCCUGACCAUAACUUUGAUAUGCGUGGAGCAAUCUCGUUUAUUUUUGGCAUGAAUGUUAACCUCAGUGAGACGGAGUGUCAUGCGCAAACUGCAGGUUCCUAUCUCAAAGGUCAAGGUCACACUUGGAGGUCAAAGGUUAAAUUCAAUAAUGACUGUCCGGAGCAUUAAUUUUCUUCUUCAUGCAUGGAGGGAUUUUGAUGUAACUUGGCACAAAUGUUCACAACCAUGUGACAGAGUGUCAUGCACAAGAACCAGGACCCUAGGUCUAACUAUAAGGUCAAGGUCAAACUUAGAGAUCAAAGUUCCUGAGCAUUUCUUUUUUAUGCAUAGAGGAAUUUUGAUGUAACUUGGCAUAAUUGUUCACCAUCAUGAGAUGGAGUGUCAUGUGCAAGAACCUAGAAUUACUUCCCUUUGUUGUCACUAUAAAUAGCUUAUAUUGAACUUUUUUAUUACUGGUCGUAGGGAAAAAUCAAGACCACUUUUCUGUAGUACAAUAUGCAUGUUACAUCCAAUUUUGAGGUGUAUUUAGACCUAUCUCUACUGGUAAGGAUUUUUGUGUGGACUUAGAUUUUUUUAAAGAUUUACUUCCCUUUGUUGUUACUAUGAAUACCGGUAACGUAUUUUGUAACUUUUUGCAAUCAUUUUUUAUUUGGCAUAAAUGUUUGCCUUAAUGAGACAGGGUGUCAUGUGCAACUCCUAGUCCUUUUGACAGCUGGCGGGCUUGACAUGUUGACCGUGGGCAUCUAGUGUUAAAACUUUCCUAUAAACUGACUCUAGUACAACCAAGUACUAUAUGAUAAGAAUGUGUUAUGGCGGAUCUCGCCUCAUAAACAUACAUAUUCAUAUAGACAAACACACCAAGAACAGGAGUCUGCAGCAAACCUGCUUUAUAAAUGAAGGGACAUUAGUGACUGGAUUCAUUUCCCUUAUUCAGACUGUCCUUUGAUCUUUAUAGAUAAAUCUGUUUUAGUUGGACAUUCAUUUCUUUUGUGGUUUUACAACUUGACAUUUUAGUUGUUUCUUAGAGUUAAUGCUUUUACUUUUGAAAAUAUGAAAACAAUAUUAUUUUAAUGUGAUUUUUGCAUAUAAUGUAUGUUUGUUUGAUGAAAUGUUUAUCUUUGAAAUUUAUUUGUAAGUUAAAGAAAUGUUCAUAUAUAUAUAUAUUUGAACCCACUCGCUAAGCUCAAUAGUGAAAGGGCAGAUCUACAGAUGACGGGGUUGCGAGUUCGAUCCCCAGGCGGGCCAAAUGUUCUCCGUGACUAUUUAAUAAAAGACAUUGUGUCUGUAAUCAUUCCUCCUCCAAUCAUGUUCGGAAGUUGGCAGUUACUUGCAAAGAACAGGUUUGUACUGGUACAGCUAGAAUCCAAAAGCACUGGUUAAUUUAUUGCCCACCGUUACAUAACUGAAAUAUUGUUGAAAAAUGGAGUUAAACCCGAAAAAAAUUAAAAACAUAUUGGAAUACUGCGAAAUCAGCUCAUUGUGUGGGCAUGAAUUUUCGUGGUUUUAACCAGAAGGAUUAUUUCAUGGGGAUUUAAUGAAUUCAUGAAUUUCAUGUUUUGACAACUGGAAUUUUAUUUGUUCAUAGGAAUUAAUUUUGUGCUUUUAAUCAACCACAAAUCCACUAAAAUUAGUCCUGCACAAAAAUUAAUGAUUUUACAGAAUUUAUCAUAAUUAUGCUAACCCCACAAUUUUUUACAUCUAGUGUGUUGAUGUUGUGUAUUUAGUAAUUUCUGUCACCCUCCACAUCAUUUUUGAAUAUAAAAUUUAUAUUUUGUUCUUUAAUUUA